GACGAAGGUGGCGAGCGUUGUUCGGAAUCACUGGGCAUAAAGCGCACGUAGGCGGCGACGUAAGUUGGGUGUGAAAUCCCUCGGCCCAACCGAGGAACUGCGCCCAGUACUGCGUUGCUUGAGGAUCCAAGGGGUGCAUGGAAUUCCCGGUGGAGCGGUGAAAUGCGUUGAUAUCGGGAGGAACUCCGGCGGCGAAAGCGGUGCACUGGUGGAUUUCUGACGCUGAGGUGCGAAAGCCAGGGGAGCAAACGGG
Molecule: ribosomal RNA, 253 nt
Filed under: uncultured bacterium
Lineage: Bacteria
Description: partial 16S ribosomal RNA
Rfam family: Bacterial small subunit ribosomal RNA
Source: RNAcentral